UAAAAACCGCAUUAGGUUUCCGGAUCAUCGAUCCAUAUUGUGUUAUUAGAGAUAAUUAUUAUGUUCACACUUUAACCCCUCACAAUAACACUUGCUCCAACGAAACUAUGGUCCAAUGCUCUGUCAAGACGAGCUUGGCCAUCGAGCGAAGCCACUUCGAGAAUUAAACCAUCGUACGGAGCUAAAUGAAUGCAUCCUGUUGUUUGGCUAUUGCUCAUGGCAUUUGCUUUUUUCAAAAAGUGAUGCUUUUACAACUUUCCCUGUCAGUGCCUGUCGUGUGACCGCAAGACCUAAUAAUAAAUGGUUGGAUUAUUUGCAAGUACGCAGAACGACACUGGAGCCAACAGCGAGAUCAAGAUAAAACUGGAUCCUUGUAUACGCGACCGUGUUUUAUGCCAGCUGGUUUCUCGAAGUAAAAGUUGUGGCGGAAAUGAAGUUAAUUUGAGUGGCUAAAAGAGGUAGCCAAGGGCCGCCAUCACUCGUAAUGUUCUGCUUGCUGCCCUAGAAGAAUGACCAUUUCUUCAGAAAUGCAAACAAUAGCGGCGUGUAUAUCACCGUUCAAACUGAUACCAACAUGAGCAAAGAGCAAUACUUAUCAUAGCUUGACUGUUUCAUUUCCAUAUUUCUUUGAUUGUGCUCACCUUAACUUAAGACUAAAAUCAACCCGUCGCGGAGUCACCUGUAACCACAGACAACAUCGGCAUAUUGAAGCAGCCGCUGAUGUACAAGCAACGCGUACCCUUCUCAAUCCGUCGCCUGUCAAGUGACCUGUAAAAAAGAAUAAUAAUCAAACAAUUAUCACCAUUAGAUUUCGGCGAAGAACUUAAUGGACAUACAGAUGGUAAGACACGGGUGUUUUAGCGUCGGCGUCUUGAACUUUCACCAAUCGACUCGUAUCACGCGUGCUCUGACCAUGUCACAAGCUCAAAAUACCAGCUACAAAUAAUAUUUUGCACUCGAACUUAUCCCGGCAACGCCCUUCGAAUUACGGAACCGUUCAAUGGAAGCGAAAGUUUUAAAACGUUUAAAAAACGGAAAGCCAGACAACGUCUUCCUCCAUAUUCUACCCAGACCCACAUCAUUGAAUAAUAGGUUCAUACGUGUGACCGCUUUGGCCCGUGGCGUAAUAACCUGAAAGGAAGACAUAUCAUCCAAGUUAAAAAGUGGCAUUUUGUUUUAUUUGAUACUUGCGCUCGAUAUCCAGAGGACGUCAGUGAUGCGUUGACGGGAACUGUAGCCAAGCGGAAGCAGGUCGAUCACGAUUCACUGGCUAGCUGAAUGAGGAGUGUUACAUCGGGUAGUUCCUUCAUCGAAAAACGCGUUGGAGGCCGUCGGAACACGCUUGAAAAGGGAAGAACGCAGAGGGGCAUAGUAGUAAAUGCGUGAUCUGCUGGCUGACUUCAAAGGCUAGAGUCGACGGAGUGGGAUUUAGGUUCGUUGGGGCAACAUUAGUGACGACGACAGCAGCGACGCCAAUUGCGACAAUCGACAGAUAGGAUGAAAUUUUUCCAAACAUCUCAAAAUGAGUCCCUAUUCCGCUCUGCUGUCCUCACGGCGUCCGCUAUUGGCUUCACUGCCGCAGUCUUUGCUACAGAUCUCGCAGCUGGUGGAAUGACAGAACGUUCGAUGCUAAACCAGAAGGCCGGGUAGCAGCACGUGUUAAACAGCUUCUCGGAUCCUCGAUGUGACAAGCCUCUCUUUGGCACCGAGCGAGACAGAGGAAAAACUAAAACGACGACGUGAAGGGGAACGGGGCGCGCGAAGCGAAAGGAGUGCACCUUAAGAAAGCCGACGCGAAUGUAAAUUUCAUGCUGACAUCGAGUGGAUAACAUUCUCCAAUCAGCUUAGUCUAGUUAUUGCAGCCUGGUAGAGCUAUGGGCAGUAACCAUCACGAGAAGGAUGUCGAACUCCUUCUCCCCGUCGCGGCGACUCCUGUCCGAAUCAAGACAUCCAACGAGUCACCCAAUUACCUGCGGAUACUUACCGCCACUAAAAACGAGAUCAAACCGCCAAGCGGCCCUACAGAUUUGUCUUUUGACAUUCGGUUCUUCGUCUUUCGUAGCGAUUUGAGGUUCCGAAAAAAGAGAAUAGAAAGCACAAACGAUGACCUGGGCUGCUUCUAACGUGCCUCUUUCAAAAUGCUCGUGUGAACACGCCAAUAUGAAUGGCCACGACGGCGCGAUGGUUUCAGUAAUAGUGGGUUCGUCUGCAACAAUUUACUGCUGAUUAGUUGCCCGCGGUUGCAAUAUUGAAGCAUUUUGAGAACGAAGCCCUAACAGCUGACGGGCAACCAGCGUGCCUACUUUUUUCAUUUAUUCUCGAUCGACCUUUGAUCUGAUAACUUUUGCUCCUUAAUCCCCUCUGAAAAUAGCUACGUGAUUCCGUCAAAUACGCACACUCGGCCUCGUAGCAACUCAACUUUCCGAUGCGUCUCUGCGGCUUUGUCGCCUUCAGCUUUUACCGUGAAGACACAUUUUCGUAAAAAUCCGUCCCUGCGUCCUUGGGGGCACGAGAAACCGCAACUGUCUUCACUAGCGUAUCUGUUAACAUCUUCUGGAGAGUCUUCCUUAUCUUAUGUAAUAA
RNAcentral lists this long non-coding RNA (2583 nucleotides) under Varroa destructor (honeybee mite). RNAcentral's name for it is "uncharacterized LOC111247177". Lineage: Eukaryota; Metazoa; Arthropoda; Arachnida; Mesostigmata; Varroidae. The record is from RNAcentral.